CUCUGCCCGCCUCCUCCCGCCUCCGUCCUCUUCUGCCUGUCCCACUGUCUGCGGAGACGGACAGGCCGAGCAUGGAGCAGCACGAGAGAUAAGUGCGAAGCAACAGAGCCUACCAUGGAGUAUUUUUGCGGACCAUGUACAUGCUGUUGGAGGGAAGAGGGGUAGGAAAUUCUAGGUAGUUCUUACUCAUCUCGAAUUAUUAGCAUGCUUGAGUGAGGCUCACCUUUCCUGCGGCUGCCCUCGAGUUUAUUGUGCCUAGUAAUCGGCAGUCAGCAGAGAGGAGUGACGCGGGGUGAAAGGCGCAUUUAGAAAUUCCAAGCAAAAAUUGUGGAGGUUUUACUCUGAAUUGCCAAUUACAGUGGGCCCUUCGCAGAGUACAUCCUGAUAGAAGUAUUGAUUGAAUAAAAGCAUCUUGAGGAUAACGAUAGGUAUGCAUAUUGCUCCAGUGCUGGGAGCUAUACUUCUUGAAAGAAGUUGAAACCAGUGUCCUAGAGCAUCUUAAUUUACUCCACUUUGUAAAGUACCUGUGGGUACUGCAAGGUAUCCUCUCAAAAAGCAAAACCUUCCUGUCAGGAGUGCAUACAGUGAGCAGGAGCAGCGCAGCAGCACUGCUGAGGGCAGGCAGGUCUCAGGGCUGCCCAGUACCUCACAGCAGUGAUGUCCUCAGCUUAGCAUCAUCGCACUGAAACUCAUGCCACAGUUUCAGCUGUCAAGUUGCCUAUACCACUGCUCCGGUUAAAGUCCUAAAAGAAAGCAGAACUGGGGUCUUAAAAGUCAGAAGUUUACACAAAGCUGAUGAAACAGAAUACAUGGUGGUUUUCUGUCACUUUCUUGUCUAUGGGAGAUGACUAAUAAAAGAUUUCUAGGUAGGACCUUGGGAAAUAAGUACUACAGAUGGCCCAAGACUGGUAAAAUCGCUUUGAAACCUCUGGGUCCAGUCUGUGUGGCCCUACCUAUGGGCAGCACUGUGCUGCAGUGAGAGUGGUGCUGGCCUGACUUCUUCAUCUUUCCAUUUGGCAUGCUGUUUGAUGACUGCUCAGUUCUGUGGAAUGAAAGUUCCCUCCACAGCAUUUAGAUGCACACACCACUAUUUACAGCAAAGAGGACUCCAGGCCUGUGAGCUAGGGCUUUCUUGUGCCUCAGAAAGCCUUGUCCAGCAGUUUCCCUCCAAACAGCCCCAGGAUGCUCUGCAGUCCCCAUGGCAGCCACUUUCCACAUGCUGCAAAGCCCAGUUCUGGCAGAGAUGUUUUGGAAGUCUGGCACACUGGCCCUGUAAAUCCACCAUAUGAAUGGCUGAGAUCAUGAUCCUGCUGCUCCAACAUUUCUAACCCAUUUUGCUUGAAUCGCAACAUCUCAUAAUGUAUUUUGAGUUCAUAGAUUUAAAAUGGGGAUCUUUAGAAAAUAGUAUUGUGAAUCAGAGCAUCUGAAAAUAUUAACAUUGCUUUAAUACAUAAUUUUGGAGUUUGUGUUACUGGUGAUUGAUAAACACAGUAACCAAAUGCAUCUACCUCUUACACUCACAUCUGCUUUCUGUUCCCCCAGAUCAGUACUUGGGAAUGACAAAAAGGGAAAGGAUUAGACUCUGUACAAGCUGAUAAACACAUGCAAAUGCAUAUGAAGGUUGUAGGUUUAGAAGCCUUUUUUACUUCACCUAUUCUGUAUAAAUGCAAUGGUGUUUCUGAGUGCUCCUACUCCUCAGGCUGCCUCUGGGGUCCCCCCCCGGUCAUGGGCAGUGCUGAGCCCCAAAAGGAGUAGACAAGGCAUGACUGAGGCACAGUGCCUGCUACCAAGUGCAUGGGUGUAGUACUGUGCACAUUGUCCCUGGAGGAGUGUUACACUUCCUAAAUGCAAGGUUGCAUGGUAGCAAUGCCAGCAUGCCCCUUGGACCACAGUGCCCAUAUGGCUGUAUUUUUUAGUACUUAUGUGUAGUUCUAAAGGGAUGCUCUUUCUUGGCAAAAGCAGCAAGAUGUAGGGAUUUUGCUGUUUGAGGAGAAAAUAACUAAAACUGACUGAAUUCCUUUCAAACUAGCCAAGGACUAUUAAGUCAUUGAAACUUAGACCUGAUUUUUUUAAAUGGAUAAUACAGUAAAGGACUAAGUUUCAAUUAUGAGGGAAUGUAAGCAAGCAGAUGAGCAGAUUAAUCCAUUAGCACAUGAGGAUGGAAAUUCAUAGACAGUUUCUUUGUCAGGCAAGUCUCAUUUUUAAAGGAAAGCAGCACAUCCACAGAAUACAGAAUUAACACUUUUACUUUUUUUUUUUUUUUUUAAAUAACUCCUGUAUUCAGAACAGCAGAGUAGCAAAGUGCCAUUCUGAAGCAGCAGGAGAUGUUUUUUUCCAUAUUAUUUUUGUGAGAAUUUUAUCCAGUGAAGUUCUUUCACGAACCACAAUGAGAGUAGCAAACCUGAAUCUCUGGAUUUUGGAUUGAAAUAAAAAUGUCUGCCAUGACCUUCCGACUGAUGAUUAAAAGUCUUUGGAGUAAAUUGGGCAGCUUUACUUUCAGAGAAAUCACAUUCCGCCCAUAUUUCAGUGCAUGUUAAGCACAGCUCAAGAAAAUUUCCAUUCACUGAAGCAAAGCUCAGAGCUAGAUCCCUGGCUGCUGUCUGCCACCAUGCACAGUGUCAGGCUUCAUUCACUGAAGCAUCACUGCUUUGCAUCAGGGAAAGAUGUAGCUGUUUAGAUCAGGCAUUUUGAUGGCCUGGGAAGAGCAAAAAAAAAAAAACAUGGAAUGAAUAUGGCAACAUCUGGUUUCUGGUGCAUGUUGCUGGAAAUGAUCCUCUUCUGCCACAGCAAAGAAGCACAAAGGAAGGUAAGUUUUCACUUGAACUCAUACUGAAAAGAUGAAUAAUCUGUUUUGCUAUAAUGAAGAAUGGGCUUUGUGUGAUGAUGCUUAAUGCACAGUAUUUAAGUGUCAUGGCACUGGGGGCACUGAUUUUCCAGCCCUACUUCAACCCUGCUGAAUUAAGCUGCCCACUUCUCUCUGUUUCACUGUUUUCCUGGAAGUGUUUACCUCCUCCAUGUCAGUUCAUGGCUUAGCUAAUAGUCCUCCAUUCUAAGGGACUAUGACAGCUGUUCAGACAGGUAACUGUGGCCAUAACCCUUUUAAUGUUUGGGAACCUGGAGAGGGGCUGCCCCACUGAGGACCACCUCAUGCUGCCAGACCCUCAUCCAUACAUCUGAACAGGGCUGAUCACAGAGCCCCAGCUACUGUGUGACCACCCGCACCUCAGACACAGCACGGAUAAUGCAAAGCCAGCCUGGCUUUGCAGGGUGAGAGGGUGAGGUCAGGUGCCAAGCUCAAGCUGAAAUGUGGUCCCUGACCCAGGCAGGGACAGUGAACAGGUAUCCCAGCUGUGAAUGGCUGGGCAAUUAGGAUGAUAUGGCCUGCCUCAGAGCCUUGACAUUUAGUCCUCUCUGCUGAAUUCCAUGAGGAGUCCAUGAUUCAGAGCUGUGUGGUACUCCAUGCUUAAAGACACUGCAGUUUUGUCCUAUGUCAAGUUCACUCAGUUAACAACUGAUCUUUCCACUAAUGCAACUCCAAAAUUCUCUCAAAGUUUAUGCUGGAAAACAUGAUCCAAGUUGCAUGUUGAGACUCAUAAGCACUGGCCUGUUCCAUGUGAAGGGAUUGUAUGACUGAUUACAUCUGGACACCGACCAGGAAGAACAAAGUCACCACUGACGGCAUGUCAGGAGCCACAAAGGAAAAUCAUACAGGAUAUGUGGGACUCAGCUGUGAAAACCUGACACCCAUUCUCUUAACUCUGCAAAUAUCUAGACAACUUGGCUAGACCCAAACAGUCCAUACAACAGUGGUCACGAAGAAAGAGAUUUAACAUUCUCUGUACCAUAGCAUACGUGCAAGUGUGGGCAGCCUGGAUUAAUAUACACCCUCUAAUACCUGCUUGGGAAGAUUAAGACACCUCAUCAACCAGUUUGCCAUUUUCACAGUGGCCAUGUGAGGUGGCCAUAGGUGGAAGAGAACGUAAUACAGAGGCCUUUCCGUAUAUUAGUAGUGUGCCGGGCUAAUACUCCAUCAAAAUCUGCACCUGGGCUUGCAUCUAAAUAGUCAGGGAGUAUUAUAUGUAAUAUAUAAUGUGUAAUAUGUAAAUAGGCCAGUUGAGACAUGGAAAUGCUAGUGGUCUCUGUGAUCUUAUGCUCUUUGACUUAAUAUGGGAUGUCAGGGAAGUUCUUUACAGAAAGAGUGGUGAGGUGCUGAAACUGGCUGCCUAGAGAGGUUGUGGAUGCCUCGUCUCUGGAGGUGUUCAAGACCAGGUUGGAUGGGACCCUGGGCAACCUGGUCUAGUACCAGAUCUGGAGGUUGGUGGUCCUGCCUAUGGCAGGGGGCUUGGAACUUGAUGUUGGGGCUUGGAACUUGGGUCUCUUCCAACCCAAGUCAUUCUUUGAUUCUAUGAUUUUAUGCUUGAACUGAGUGUAAGAAAUUAAAAGAGAAGUGGAAGAGGGGAAUAGAAGAAAUCUGUAUUUUUUAAGAAGGUAAUGGACCAGGUUUUCAAAGCCAUUGAGAAAUUCUGAUUCCCACUGAGGAUAAUAGGAGUUGAGAAUGCUCAGAAAUGG
Molecule: long non-coding RNA, 4569 nt
Organism: Gallus gallus (chicken)
Lineage: Eukaryota; Metazoa; Chordata; Aves; Galliformes; Phasianidae
Exons: 2
Source: RefSeq, a predicted model, not a curated record